Molecule: ribosomal RNA, 105 nt
Filed under: Petromyzon marinus (sea lamprey)
Lineage: Eukaryota; Metazoa; Chordata; Hyperoartia; Petromyzontiformes; Petromyzontidae
Source: RNAcentral
UCACCCUGCAUGCACCGAUCUUGUCAGACCUCAUCAGAUCUAGGGAGAUAAGCAGGUUUGAGCUCGGUUUGUUUUGGGAUGGGAGACUGCCUGGGAAAACCAAAU